GGCCGGUUGGCCUAAUGGUAAGGCGUGGCUCUCCUAAGUGAUUUUGACUGUGUUCUAUGCAAAUUCAGUCUCCACUUAGAGUAGUUAAGCCAAGAUUGCGGGUUCGAGUCCCGUAUCGGUCG
Aspergillus nidulans FGSC A4 is the source of this 122-nucleotide transfer RNA. It matches the Rfam family "tRNA". Rfam says of the family: Transfer RNA (tRNA) molecules are approximately 80 nucleotides in length. The record is from Rfam. Lineage: Eukaryota; Fungi; Ascomycota; Eurotiomycetes; Eurotiales; Aspergillaceae.